GCCUGGGUGGCUCAGUGGUUGAGCAUCUGCCUUUGGCUCAGGGUAUGAUCCUGAAGUUCAGGAUCGAGUCCUGCAUCGGGCU
This 82-nucleotide transfer RNA is filed under the name Canis lupus dingo (dingo). It matches the Rfam family "tRNA". From Rfam's summary of the family: Transfer RNA (tRNA) molecules are approximately 80 nucleotides in length. Lineage: Eukaryota; Metazoa; Chordata; Mammalia; Carnivora; Canidae. The record is from Rfam by way of RNAcentral.